GGAGAUGAACGGGUACUUGCUCCAAUACCUCACGGUUUUUGGAGAGGAAAGUCCGGACACCCCUUGUUUAUUUCAAGGAAGCAGGUGGCAGGUAACGCCUGCCUCCCGCCAAAUUCGUCUUCGACGAAUAGGCGGGACGGGACUGAUACUCGGAGUGAAGAUACAGCGCAUGCGAUAUCUGCACUACGUUUCAGCGAAGAGUGCAACAGAAACAUACCGCCUAUGUGUACCUAGGUAUGCAGGUAAGGUUGAAAUCGUGCGGUAAGAGCGCACGUCGCGUCUGAGUAAUCAGACGAGAGGGCAAACCCCUCCUGGUGCAACCUCAAGUCGCUCCGUUUAUAGCGGAGCAGGUAGAGGGCAUGAGCCUAGCAGCGAUGUUAGGCCCAGAUAGAUGAGUACCUCCCCCACCGUAAGGCGGGGCAGACAGAAUCCGGCUUACAGUUCGUCUCCAUUA
RNAcentral lists this RNase P RNA (454 nucleotides) under bacterium. Its description in RNAcentral is "RNase P RNA component class A". It matches the Rfam family "Bacterial RNase P class A". Rfam says of the family: Ribonuclease P (RNase P) is a ubiquitous endoribonuclease, found in archaea, bacteria and eukarya as well as chloroplasts and mitochondria. Its best characterised activity is the generation of mature 5'-ends of tRNAs by cleaving the 5'-leader elements of precursor-tRNAs. The record is from RNAcentral.